UACGGAGGAUGCAAGCGUUAUCCGGAAUGAUUGGGCGUAAAGGGUCCGCAGGUGGCCAUGUAAGUCUGCUGUCAAAGAAUGAGGCUUAACCUCAUCAAGGCAGUGGAAACUACAUAGCUAGAGUACGGUCGGGGUAGAAGGAAUUCCUGGUGUAGCGGUGAAAUGCGUAGAGAUCAGGAAGAACACCGGUGGCGAAAGCGUUCUGCUAGACCUGUACUGACACUGAGGGACGAAAGCUAGGGGAGCGAAUGGG
This 253-nucleotide ribosomal RNA is filed under the name uncultured bacterium. Its description in RNAcentral is "partial 16S ribosomal RNA". It matches the Rfam family "Bacterial small subunit ribosomal RNA", at positions 524 to 776 of the family's 1533-position model. The record is from RNAcentral.